This 714-nucleotide ribosomal RNA is filed under the name Triticum aestivum (bread wheat). RNAcentral describes it as "partial small subunit ribosomal RNA". The record is from RNAcentral. Lineage: Eukaryota; Viridiplantae; Streptophyta; Magnoliopsida; Poales; Poaceae.
AUGAAAGAACACUUUGAUGUUCGCAACGUGAGUGGAAUUGACCGCUCUGAGAGAUCACUUCGGUCCCGGUGGUUGAAAAUCAACUCAGAUUGUCAAAGGUGGGCGGCAUGUCAAGAGGCGGUUGACAAGUUGAACCCAAGUGGCACAAAUGAGGACGAUAGAAACUUGUUCGAAGAAGAGGAGAGGAAAACCAAGAAGGGGAAGAUCAAGAAAGGAAGGAUCUUUACCUUGCCUCAUUGCUAUGAAGUGUUGAAGGAUGAUGAGAAAUGGAAGAAGCGUGAAGAUUUGGAUGAUUUGCAUUUGAGCACCAAACGCAAGCGAACAAUUGAGUUGAAUGAUGAUGAUGAUGAGGAGGAUGAUGCAUCAAGUGAUGACGACAAGAGAAGCCCCACACCCAACUCGGUUUCAUACUCGAAGCCAAAACGGCCGGAUGAGUGCAAGAAAGACAAAACAGAAAAGAAGACGAGGAAAGGAGAUGAUGAGAUCAAAAAUGCUAUGGAAGCAAUUGUCAACGCAAGAAGAGAAGCCAACGAGGUGAGGAAAAUGGCAAGAAACCAAGAUGCCGCGGCCGAGGAGAGGAGGUUGGCGGCCGAGGAGAGGAGGGUGGCGGCCGAGGAGAGGAAGGUGUCUUUGGAGGAGAGGAAGGUGAGCAAUGAGGAGCGAACUAGAUUGUUGGAAUGGGAGAAGCACUUGUUCUUUCUUGGACACAUCUAA